This 968-nucleotide ribosomal RNA is filed under the name uncultured bacterium. Its description in RNAcentral is "bacterial SSU rRNA". It matches the Rfam family "Bacterial small subunit ribosomal RNA", at positions 36 to 1004 of the family's 1533-position model. The record is from RNAcentral.
CUGGCGGCGUGCCUAACACAUGCAAGUCGAGCGGUAUAUGUUGGAAUGAAACUUCGGUCGAGUGAAGACAUAGAGAGCGGCGGACGGGUGAGUAACGCGUAGGCAACCUGCCCCAUACAGAGGGAUAGCCUCGGGAAACCGGGAUUAAAACCUCAUAAUGCGAGAAGUUCACAUGGACUUUUCGCCAAAGAUUUAUCGGUAUGGGAUGGGCCUGCGUCUGAUUAGCUAGUUGGUGGGGUAACGGCCUACCAAGGCAACGAUCAGUAGCCGACCUGAGAGGGUAAUCGGCCACAUUGGAACUGAGACACGGUCCAAACUCCUACGGGAGGCAGCAGUGGGGAAUAUUGCACAAUGGGCGAAAGCCUGAUGCAGCAACGCCGCGUGAGCGAUGAAGGCCUUUGGGUCGUAAAGCUCUGUCCUUGGGGAAGAAUAAAUGACGGUACCCUUGGAGGAAGCCCCGGCUAACUACGUGCCAGCAGCCGCGGUAAUACGUAGGGGGCAAGCGUUAUCCGGAAUUAUUGGGCGUAAAGAGUGCGUAGGUGGUUUUGUAAGCGCGGGGUGAAAGGCAAUAGCUCAACUAUUGUAAGCCCUGCGAACUGUGAGACUUGAGUGCAGGAGAGGAAAGUGGAAUUCCUAGUGUAGCGGUGAAAUGCGUAGAUAUUAGGAGGAACACCAGUGGCGAAGGCGACUUUCUGGACUGUAACUGACACUGAGGCACGAAAGCGUGGGGAGCAAACAGGAUUAGAUACCCUGGUAGUCCACGCCGUAAACGAUGAGCACUAGGUGUCGGGGCCGCAAGGUUUCGGUGCCGCAGUUAACGCAUUAAGUGCUCCGCCUGGGGAGUACGCACGCAAGUGUGAAACUCAAAGGAAUUGACGGGGACCCGCACAAGCAGCGGAGCAUGUGGUUUAAUUCGAAGCAACGCGAAGAACCUUACCAGGGCUUGACAUCCCUCUGACAGUCCCUUA